Molecule: ribosomal RNA, 223 nt
Filed under: uncultured bacterium
Lineage: Bacteria
Description: partial 16S ribosomal RNA
Rfam family: Bacterial small subunit ribosomal RNA
Source: RNAcentral
CACGUAGGGCGCAAGCGUUGUCCGGAAUUAUUGGGCGUAAAGAGCUCGUAGGCGGUUUGUCGCGUCUGCUGUGAAAACUCGGGGCUUAACUCCGGGCCUGCAGUGGGUACGGGCAGACUAGAGUGCGGUAGGGGAGACUGGAAUUCCUGGUGUAGCGGUGAAAUGCGCAGAUAUCAGGAGGAACACCGGUGGCGAAGGCGGGUCUCUGGGCAACAACUGACGC